UUACGGUCAAAUCACGCUGAAACACCGGUUCUCGUACGAUCACCGAAGUUAAGCAUCAUAGAGCCAGGUCAGUACUUAGAUGGGGACCGCUUGGGAACACCUGGUACUGUAAG
RNAcentral lists this ribosomal RNA (113 nucleotides) under Acanthosepion pharaonis. Lineage: Eukaryota; Metazoa; Mollusca; Cephalopoda; Sepiida; Sepiidae. The record is from RNAcentral.